GGGAGUUUGGCCGAGUGGUUAAGGCGUUGUGUUUAGGUCAUUCCCCUUCUAAAGGGGAGUACUUGAAACCGCAAUGGGAAACCGCGCAGGUUCGAAUCCUGCAGCUCUCA
Molecule: non-coding RNA, 110 nt
Organism: Biscogniauxia marginata
Lineage: Eukaryota; Fungi; Ascomycota; Sordariomycetes; Xylariales; Xylariaceae
Source: the annotation of a GenBank genome assembly